GGGUUGUGAGGUUAAGCGACUAAGCGUACACGGUGGAUGCCCUGGCAGUCAGAGGCGAUGAAGGACGUGCUAAUCUGCGAUAAGCGUCGGUAAGGUGAUAUGAACCGUUAUAACCGGCGAUUUCCGAAUGGGGAAACCCAGUGUGAUUCGUCACACUAUCAUUAACUGAAUCCAUAGGUUAAUGAGGCGAACCGGGGGAACUGAAACAUCUAAGUACCCCGAGGAAAAGAAAUCAACCGAGAUUCCCCCAGUAGCGGCGAGCGAACGGGGAGCAGCCCAGAGCCUGAAUCAGUGUGUGUGUUAGUGGAAGCGUCUGGAAAGGCGUGCGAUACAGGGUGACAGCCCCGUACACAAAAAUGCACAUAUUGUGAGCUCGAUGAGUAGGGCGGGACACGUGGUAUCCUGUCUGAAUAUGGGGGGACCAUCCUCCAAGGCUAAAUACUCCUGACUGACCGAUAGUGAACCAGUACCGUGAGGGAAAGGCGAAAAGAACCCCGGCGAGGGGAGUGAAAAAGAACCUGAAACCGUGUACGUACAAGCAGUGGGAGCACGCUUAGGCGUGUGACUGCGUACCUUUUGUAUAAUGGGUCAGCGACUUAUAUUCUGUAGCAAGGUUAACCGAAUAGGGGAGCCGAAGGGAAACCGAGUCUUAACUGGGCGUUAAGUUGCAGGGUAUAGACCCGAAACCCGGUGAUCUAGCCAUGGGCAGGUUGAAGGUUGGGUAACACUAACUGGAGGACCGAACCGACUAAUGUUGAAAAAUUAGCGGAUGACUUGUGGCUGGGGGUGAAAGGCCAAUCAAACCGGGAGAUAGCUGGUUCUCCCCGAAAGCUAUUUAGGUAGCGCCUCGUGAAUUCAUCUCCGGGGGUAGAGCACUGUUUCGGCAAGGGGGUCAUCCCGACUUACCAACCCGAUGCAAACUGCGAAUACCGGAGAAUGUUAUCACGGGAGACACACGGCGGGUGCUAACGUCCGUCGUGAAGAGGGAAACAACCCAGACCGCCAGCUAAGGUCCCAAAGUCAUGGUUAAGUGGGAAACGAUGUGGGAAGGCCCAGACAGCCAGGAUGUUGGCUUAGAAGCAGCCAUCAUUUAAAGAAAGCGUAAUAGCUCACUGGUCGAGUCGGCCUGCGCGGAAGAUGUAACGGGGCUAAACCAUGCACCGAAGCUGCGGCAGCGACGCUUAUGCGUUGUUGGGUAGGGGAGCGUUCUGUAAGCCUGUGAAGGUGUGCUGUGAGGCAUGCUGGAGGUAUCAGAAGUGCGAAUGCUGACAUAAGUAACGAUAAAGCGGGUGAAAAGCCCGCUCGCCGGAAGACCAAGGGUUCCUGUCCAACGUUAAUCGGGGCAGGGUGAGUCGACCCCUAAGGCGAGGCCGAAAGGCGUAGUCGAUGGGAAACAGGUUAAUAUUCCUGUACUUGGUGUUACUGCGAAGGGGGGACGGAGAAGGCUAUGUUGGCCGGGCGACGGUUGUCCCGGUUUAAGCGUGUAGGCUGGUUUUCCAGGCAAAUCCGGAAAAUCAAGGCUGAGGCGUGAUGACGAGGCACUACGGUGCUGAAGCAACAAAUGCCCUGCUUCCAGGAAAAGCCUCUAAGCAUCAGGUAACAUCAAAUCGUACCCCAAACCGACACAGGUGGUCAGGUAGAGAAUACCAAGGCGCUUGAGAGAACUCGGGUGAAGGAACUAGGCAAAAUGGUGCCGUAACUUCGGGAGAAGGCACGCUGAUAUGUAGGUGAAGUCCCUCGCGGAUGGAGCUGAAAUCAGUCGAAGAUACCAGCUGGCUGCAACUGUUUAUUAAAAACACAGCACUGUGCAAACACGAAAGUGGACGUAUACGGUGUGACGCCUGCCCGGUGCCGGAAGGUUAAUUGAUGGGGUCAGCGCAAGCGAAGCUCUUGAUCGAAGCCCCGGUAAACGGCGGCCGUAACUAUAACGGUCCUAAGGUAGCGAAAUUCCUUGUCGGGUAAGUUCCGACCUGCACGAAUGGCGUAAUGAUGGCCAGGCUGUCUCCACCCGAGACUCAGUGAAAUUGAACUCGCUGUGAAGAUGCAGUGUACCCGCGGCAAGACGGAAAGACCCCGUGAACCUUUACUAUAGCUUGACACUGAACAUUGAGCCUUGAUGUGUAGGAUAGGUGGGAGGCUUUGAAGUGUGGACGCCAGUCUGCAUGGAGCCGACCUUGAAAUACCACCCUUUAAUGUUUGAUGUUCUAACGUUGACCCGUGAUCCGGGUUGCGGACAGUGUCUGGUGGGUAGUUUGACUGGGGCGGUCUCCUCCUAAAGAGUAACGGAGGAGCACGAAGGUUGGCUAAUCCUGGUCGGACAUCAGGAGGUUAGUGCAAUGGCAUAAGCCAGCUUGACUGCGAGCGUGACGGCGCGAGCAGGUGCGAAAGCAGGUCAUAGUGAUCCGGUGGUUCUGAAUGGAAGGGCCAUCGCUCAACGGAUAAAAGGUACUCCGGGGAUAACAGGCUGAUACCGCCCAAGAGUUCAUAUCGACGGCGGUGUUUGGCACCUCGAUGUCGGCUCAUCACAUCCUGGGGCUGAAGUAGGUCCCAAGGGUAUGGCUGUUCGCCAUUUAAAGUGGUACGCGAGCUGGGUUUAGAACGUCGUGAGACAGUUCGGUCCCUAUCUGCCGUGGGCGCUGGAGAACUGAGGGGGGCUGCUCCUAGUACGAGAGGACCGGAGUGGACGCAUCACUGGUGUUCGGGUUGUCAUGCCAAUGGCACUGCCCGGUAGCUAAAUGCGGAAGAGAUAAGUGCUGAAAGCAUCUAAGCACGAAACUUGCCCCGAGAUGAGUUCUCCCUGACUCCUUGAGAGUCCUGAAGGAACGUUGAAGACGACGACGUUGAUAGGCCGGGUGUGUAAGCGCAGCGAUGCGUUGAGCUAACCGGUACUAAUGAACCGUGAGGCUUAACCUUACAACGCCGAAGCUGUU
Molecule: ribosomal RNA, 2930 nt
Filed under: Escherichia coli
Lineage: Bacteria; Pseudomonadati; Pseudomonadota; Gammaproteobacteria; Enterobacterales; Enterobacteriaceae
Description: 23S ribosomal RNA
Rfam family: Bacterial large subunit ribosomal RNA
Source: RNAcentral